RNAcentral lists this transfer RNA (67 nucleotides) under Sphaerodactylus townsendi. RNAcentral describes it as "tRNA-Ala". It matches the Rfam family "tRNA", at positions 6 to 65 of the family's 71-position model. Rfam says of the family: Transfer RNA (tRNA) molecules are approximately 80 nucleotides in length. Their secondary structure includes four short double-helical elements and three loops (D, anti-codon, and T loops). Further hydrogen bonds mediate the characteristic L-shaped molecular structure. tRNAs have two regions of fundamental functional importance: the anti-codon, which is responsible for specific mRNA codon recognition, and the 3' end, to which the tRNAs corresponding amino acid is attached (by aminoacyl-tRNA synthetases). tRNAs cope with the degeneracy of the genetic code in two manners: having more than one tRNA (with a specific anti-codon) for a particular amino acid; and 'wobble' base-pairing, i.e. permitting non-standard base-pairing at the 3rd anti-codon position. Lineage: Eukaryota; Metazoa; Chordata; Lepidosauria; Squamata; Sphaerodactylidae. The record is from RNAcentral.
GCUGUGGCUCAGCGGUAGAUCGUCUGCUUGGCCAGCAGAAGUUCCCAGGUUCAAUCCCUGGCAUCCA